UUGUUUAAGGGAUGAACAAGCCUUUGAUAAUUGAAUUCAUUCAUCUCUUGUCACCAUCACAGUGUUUUUGUUUUGCUUAUCAUUAUCGGAUGGUACAAUU
Molecule: non-coding RNA, 100 nt
Organism: Capsicum annuum
Lineage: Eukaryota; Viridiplantae; Streptophyta; Magnoliopsida; Solanales; Solanaceae
Source: Rfam